GGCCUCCUGUUUAUCGAGGACGCGUCGUCUGAUGCAGCGGGUUGCGUCAAGGCUGGUGGCCCAUCGAAGUUGAUGACAGGCUGAGCCGCUUGGAAUUGCCUUUUUUUGGACAAUUUAGGGUUAGGGUUAGAGAAAGGGACUUUGCCCAUGAAUUUAGCACCGCCUCUCGGCUGUGACUGCGUCCAAUUCGGUUCGUUACGAUUAGCUAAGACUGCAGACGCCAUGAAGAGUCCGGUAGAAUUCCGGCAGUUCUCUGGCGAGGACUUCCCAAUUUGGAUGAACAAGAAAUCAUGAAUCGUAUAGAGCGUGCCCCCCACGCGCAACCUCUAUUAACACACGCGCCACUGAAAUAUUGAUCUGCGAACUCAAAAAAUUUCAAGGAAGAAAAAUAUAACGACUAGAGAGAUAUGCGCUAAGGGUUAGGGUUUGGGGAUUUCCC
RNAcentral lists this unclassified non-coding RNA (439 nucleotides) under Hevea brasiliensis (rubber tree). The record is from RNAcentral. Lineage: Eukaryota; Viridiplantae; Streptophyta; Magnoliopsida; Malpighiales; Euphorbiaceae.